Molecule: long non-coding RNA, 285 nt
Filed under: Lathyrus oleraceus (garden pea)
Lineage: Eukaryota; Viridiplantae; Streptophyta; Magnoliopsida; Fabales; Fabaceae
Description: Pisum sativum (pea) long non-coding RNA (PSAT_LNC013176)
Source: RNAcentral
CAAAGGAAAGGAGCAUCUUGAAUCAUCUCUAUGAUCUCAAGAAGAGGAACUCCAAGGGUUUUAUCUCUUCUCUUAUCUUUGUAUGCUUUAGGACUAACUCUUCUCUUCUUCUCUCCACUCUAACCCAAGCCAAACUCUUUUUGUGCAAACUUUGACUUUGUUUCAAACUAGAAACCUAGGCCUUAUGCCUUUGACUUUUCAAAAUCUUUUCAUUAAUACUCACUGUGAAUUAACAUUAAUUCAACUUUGACUUCUUUUUGUAAAUAAAUAUAACUUGUAAAUACA